RNAcentral lists this ribosomal RNA (393 nucleotides) under uncultured bacterium. RNAcentral's name for it is "partial 16S ribosomal RNA". It matches the Rfam family "Bacterial small subunit ribosomal RNA", at positions 523 to 918 of the family's 1533-position model. The record is from RNAcentral.
AUACGGAGGAUCCGAGCGUUAUCCGGAUUUAUUGGGUUUAAAGGGAGCGUAGGUGGAUUGUUAAGUCAGUUGUGAAAGUUUGCGGCUCAACCGUAAAAUUGCAGUUGAAACUGGCAGUCUUGAGUACAGUAGAGGUGGGCGGAAUUCGUGGUGUAGCGGUGAAAUGCUUAGAUAUCACGAAGAACUCCGAUUGCGAAGGCAGCUCACUAGACUGUAACUGACACUGAUGCUCGAAAGUGUGGGUAUCAAACAGGAUUAGAUACCCUGGUAGUCCACACAGUAAACGAUGAAUACUCGCUGUUUGCGAUAUACAGUAAGCGGCCAAGCGAAAGCAUUAAGUAUUCCACCUGGGGAGUACGCCGGCAACGGUGAAACUCAAAUGAAUUGACGGGG